RNAcentral lists this long non-coding RNA (688 nucleotides) under Mus spicilegus (steppe mouse). Its description in RNAcentral is "lncRNA (ENSMSIG00000022256.1)". The record is from RNAcentral. Lineage: Eukaryota; Metazoa; Chordata; Mammalia; Rodentia; Muridae.
GUUCGGGGCCUUGAAACAGUGAGCUGUCUUUGUUCGAAAUACAGGUGAACGGCAAUCAUGUGAUUAACACACACACACACAUAAAAAGCUUUUUAACAGCGCCCGCCUGGCCUCAGAACUGCCCGGAGAGAAGCCGCCUUGGAUGGACAGAGGGACGGAGCAGCAAGCAUCCGGCUUCCCCGGCUCCCCUGCAGCGGUCUCCAACUGCUGUCUGCCCGCUGCCCGCCUGCCUGGCAUCUCUCUCCCGGUGCUAGCUGCAUUCCUGGCCUGGGAGCAGGGAGCCUGUCUGACCCCUGUGUCACACUGGAUGGUUUUACAGAGGUGCCCCACCUGAUGCUGGAUGGAAGUCAUCACCCUACAGUGUGGGUAUCAAGGGGGAACAAGGGGGCUAGGAAGCUCCAGAGGGAUUAGGUGGUCUCCAGUCACUCCCCUCUGUGUGAACCCUGCUGCUCUUCCACUCUGGAGCUGGAAAGCUGUCAGCUGCCACGCCAUGGUGCCAAGCACAUAGUAGGACUUCAAGCAUGUUUGCCCUGUACUUGUCUGCUCUUGGCUGACUUCAAAGCCUUGUCCCCCAACUACCCACAUGGCCACCUUACUCAACAGAAAUAUUCCUGUGAUAGAGACAGAAGGGCCCCCUGUUGGUCUGGAGGGUAUGGGGGGCAUUGAUCUCCCCACUAUCCAAACCAAA